Molecule: ribosomal RNA, 411 nt
Filed under: uncultured bacterium
Lineage: Bacteria
Description: bacterial SSU rRNA
Rfam family: Bacterial small subunit ribosomal RNA
Source: RNAcentral
AACGCUGGCGGCGUGCCUAACACAUGCAAGUCGAACGAGAAAGUGGAGCAAUCCAUGAGUAAAGUGGCGACCGGGUGAGUAACACGUGACCAAUCUACCCUUGAGUGGGGGAUAACCUCGGGAAACCGGGGCUAAUACCGCAUAAUAUCCUUGGAACGGAAGUACUGGGGAUCAAAGGAGUAAUUCGCUUAAGGAGGAGGUCGCGGCUGAUUAGCUAGUUGGCGGGGUAAUGGCCCACCAAGGCAAAGAUCGGUAGCCGGCCUGAGAGGGCGCACGGCCACACUGGAACUGAAACACGGUCCAGACUCCUACGGGAGGCAGCAGUGGGGAAUUUUGCGCAAUGGGGGAAACCCUGACGCAGCAACGCCGCGUGGAGGAUGAAGUCCCUUGGGGCGUAAACUCCUUUCGACC